UAGGGAAUCUUCGGCAAUGGGGGCAACCCUGACUGAGCAACGCCGCGUGAGUGAAGAAGGUUUUCGGAUCGUAAAGCUCUGUUGUAAGAGAAGAACGUGUGUGAGAGUGGAAAGUUCACACAGUGACGGUAACUUACCAGAAAGGGACGGCUAACUACGUGCCAG
RNAcentral lists this ribosomal RNA (165 nucleotides) under uncultured bacterium. RNAcentral describes it as "partial 16S rRNA". It matches the Rfam family "Bacterial small subunit ribosomal RNA", at positions 355 to 511 of the family's 1533-position model. The record is from RNAcentral.